RNAcentral lists this ribosomal RNA (369 nucleotides) under uncultured archaeon. RNAcentral describes it as "bacterial SSU rRNA". It matches the Rfam family "Archaeal small subunit ribosomal RNA", at positions 218 to 588 of the family's 1478-position model. The record is from RNAcentral.
CGGACUAUCAGGUAGUAGUCAGGGUAAAGGCCUGACUAGCCUACGACGGAUACGGGUUGUGAGAGCAAUAACCCGGAGACGAUAUCUGAGACACGAUAUCGGGCCCUACGGGGCGCAGCAGGCGCGAAAACUUCACACUGUGCGAAAGCACGAUGAGGGAAUCCCAAGUGCUUGCUCGUAAGAGUAAGCUGUUUUUAUGUCUAAAAAGCAUAGAGAGUAAGGGCUGGGUAAGACGGGUGCCAGCCGCCGCGGUAAUACCUGCAGCUCAAGUGGUGACCACUAUUAUUGGGCCUAAAACGUUCGUAGCCGGUUUAUUAAAUGCUUGGGUAAAUCGUGUAGCUUAACUAUACGAAUUCCGGGUAGACUGAU